This 154-nucleotide ribosomal RNA is filed under the name uncultured bacterium. RNAcentral describes it as "partial 16S ribosomal RNA". It matches the Rfam family "Bacterial small subunit ribosomal RNA", at positions 337 to 508 of the family's 1533-position model. The record is from RNAcentral.
UCCUACGGGAGGCAGCAGUAGGGAAUAUUGCACAAUGGGGGAAACCCUGAUGCAGCGACGCCGCGUGGAGGAAGAAGGUCUUCGGAUUGUAAACUCCUGUUGUUGAGGAAGAUAAUGACGGUACUCAACAAGGAAGUGACGGCUAACUACGUGC